Molecule: non-coding RNA, 125 nt
Organism: Brassica napus (rape)
Lineage: Eukaryota; Viridiplantae; Streptophyta; Magnoliopsida; Brassicales; Brassicaceae
Source: Rfam
GGAAUAUAAGAAUCCGUCUCUUAAUUUUUAAAUAAAAAAAACUAAGAACCGCCUCUUAAAACUCUUAUUUAAGAGCCGGUUCUUAGCUUUUUUAGUUAAAAGUUAAGAGCCGGUUCUUAGCUUUU